ACGUAGGGGGCAAGCGUUGUCCGGAUUUACUGGGUGUAAAGGGCGCGCAGGCGGAAUGGAAAGUCAGGGGUGAAAUCCUACAGCUUAACUGUAGAACUGCCUUUGAUACUUGCAGUCUUGAGUUCGGCAGAGGGAGGUGGAAUUCCAGGUGUAGUGGUGAAAUGCGUAGAUAUGUGGAGGAACACCGAUGGCGAAGGCAGUCCCCUGGGCCGAUACUGACGCUCAUGCGCGAAAGCGUGGGGAGCAAACAG
RNAcentral lists this ribosomal RNA (251 nucleotides) under uncultured prokaryote. Its description in RNAcentral is "partial 16S ribosomal RNA". It matches the Rfam family "Bacterial small subunit ribosomal RNA", at positions 525 to 775 of the family's 1533-position model. The record is from RNAcentral.